GCUCGCUUCAGCAGAACAUAUACUAAAACUGGAACAAUACAGAGAAGAUUAGCAUGGUACCUGCACAAGGAUGACACGCAAAUUCGUGAAGCAUUCCAUAUCAAA
Small nuclear RNA from Suncus etruscus (white-toothed pygmy shrew), 105 nucleotides. The record is from RefSeq and is a predicted model, not a curated record. Lineage: Eukaryota; Metazoa; Chordata; Mammalia; Eulipotyphla; Soricidae.